This is a non-coding RNA of Equus caballus (horse), 2292 nucleotides long. The record is from RefSeq and is a predicted model, not a curated record. NCBI's taxonomy places the organism in Eukaryota, Metazoa, Chordata, Mammalia, Perissodactyla, Equidae.
AAAAAAAAAAAAAAGCUUUUCUGAAUUAUCAUGAAUACAAAAUAAUUUGUUAUAAAGUGCUGAAAAUCCUACCUUCUUUUUCACUUGUCAGAUCAGUAAGUCAUCUCAUGUCACUCCUCUGAGAAAAAACUCUUGCAACGGCUCUCCAUCUUACUCUGAGGGAAAGCCAAGAUUCCUAUAGUGGUCUGGAGGCCCCACCACACCCCACUGCCUUGACCCCCUGUCCUCGGUUCCUGCCGCUUUCCUCUCUUCCUCACAUUCUCCAGGCACCCUCUUGCUUUACGGUCUGUAUUAGCUAUCUGUUGCUGUGUAACCAAUCCCCCCAAAAUGUAAUUAAAACAACAUACGUUUAUUAUCUCACAGAGUUUCCGUGGGUCAGAAAUCUGGGAGUGGCUUAUGGGUGGUUUUGGCUCAAGGUCUCUGGUGAGGUUACAGUCAAGAUGUCAGCUGGGGCUGCACUCUAAGAAGACUUGAAUGGAGCUGGAGAAUCUGCCUCCAAACUCACUCACAUGGGUGUUGGCUGGAGGCCUCAGUUCCUCACCGCGUGAACCUCUCCACUGGGCAUGGCUUCCCCCAGAAUGCGAGAUGCAGGAGAGAGAAAGAGCCCUGGAGAGAACGCCAACACGUGACUUUUAUGACUUAGUCUUCAACUCACACACUUUCACUUCUGCCACAUUCUGUUCUAUUCUCUCCUAAAUCCAGCCCCCAACGGGGCAUGAAUACCAGGAGGCAGGGCUCACUGGGGGCCAUCUUGGAGGCUGGAUACCACAGGGUCUUUGCACCAGCUCUUCCACAUGGUAACCUCAUGGCCAACUCCCUCAACUCCUUCAAUUUGUUGCUCAAAUGUAUCUUCUCAUAAGGUUUACCCCACCAACUGGUUAAAAUUGUACUGAGUCCCCUUUCCCCCUAUAUUCUCCCAAUCCUCCUGACUCUGCUCUCCUUUAUUUUUCUAUAGCUCAUAACAUCUUCUACUAUCCUAUAUAGUUUGCUUACUUAUUACAUUUAUUACAAUGUCUCCACUGUUCUGUUCCCCCACACUCCAGGAAGGCAGGAUUCUUUGUCUAUUUUGCUCAAUUAUCCAUCCCAAGCUCCCCAAAGAACCUGGCAGAUAAUGGAUCCUCAAUAAAUAUUUGUGUUUGAAUGAAGGAAUGAAGACCAUCAAGCAGAACUGGUUUAUUUAAACUUUGAUUUAAAAAAUUUCUGUUGUCUCAAAUAGACAACUACAGCAAGUAUCUGAGACACUUGUCUCAAAAGGAAAACUGGAACCUAAGCAAGUUCAGCCUUCCACAGGAUGGAAGAAGACAGAAAUGAAUGAUAAAUCAGAAGUCUUUAACAGAUGCAUUCAAUGAGAGUGUGAUGAGACUAACGUGCUUAUACACUGCCGAUGGGAGAAUAGAUUGAGGCGUCCCCUUUUGUUGAAAGGAGUAUGUGUCACCAGCUAUAAAGUAACCAGUCUCCUGGGAAUUUAUCCUAAAGAAAUCAUUCCAAAGAAAAAAAAGAUAGAAGUUUAUUACAAUAUCAUAACACUAAAAAUAUGAAGAUAACGUGUCCAAAUCUAGGCAAGUGGUACAUCAACCCAAUGAAAGAUCGUGUACUGGAGAAAAUGACAAGCAGGAAGAAUUGAAGAACUCUGGGACGGAAGGUCUAUGUGGCCAUACAGGCUGUGGCCAAACCAGACCCAGGCCGAGGAAUGGGAACAGAGCUUUGUCCUUUCCCGUCCCCAACUGUAGGACAUUCAGUGUCCUGUGAGCAGUUCUCCAGCAGGGACGAUUCUGGCCGGCAGGAGAGGUGGGGUGGGGGAUCAGGACUUGGGAGGUGGGCUUGUUGGAUAGUGGGGAGGGGUUUGUUCAUGUUUCAUUCCAGUGGUUUUUGAUUUGGGUAUCUUUGACCCUUUUUUUUUCAAGUGGGACUCCAAAAGAUCAUAGCAUACAGUAAGGUGGAUAUUUUUGUCAUUGUCUGGUUAAACUGAUUAAUGUGGACCACGCGUCUGGGAAAUUCCAGUUGUAAAGUAAAAUUUUGGACAUUACGCAUCUGAUUAUUUGUCACGGUUGUGAUGUUUGUUCUUUCAUUGUAGGUUGUGUUGGCAAGGGCAGCCUUGAGAACCUGUCUAUUUUCUUCUAGAUUCUGUGUCUUCCACAGAGGUGUGAGGCCAGAAGCAGUGUGAGGAUAAACACUCCUAUAAAGCCCAGUGUCGUUCCAGAUAUAAUUUUGGAUGCUGGUGAGAAUGGAGCUCUCAGUAUCCAGCAGUCAACAGUUACUCACUCAACAAUAAACUAGAUGUGGUUGCUUCCA